This 254-nucleotide ribosomal RNA is filed under the name uncultured beta proteobacterium. Its description in RNAcentral is "partial 16S ribosomal RNA". Lineage: Bacteria; Pseudomonadati; Pseudomonadota; Betaproteobacteria. The record is from RNAcentral.
USCCAACCCGCGAGGGGGAGAUAAUCCCAGAAACCCGGUMGUAGUCCGGAUMGUAGUCUGCAACUCGACUGCGUGAAGUCGGAAUCGCUAGUAAUCGCGGAUCAGCUUGCCGCGGUGAAUACGUUCCCGGGUCUUGUACACACCGCCCGUCACACCAUGGGAGCGGGUUCUGCCAGAAGUAGUUAGCCUAACCGCAAGGAGGGCGAUUACCACGGCAGGGUUCGUGACUGGGGUGAAGUCGUAACAAGGUAGCC